Ixodes scapularis (black-legged tick) is the source of this 441-nucleotide long non-coding RNA. RefSeq lists it as uncharacterized. The record is from RefSeq and is a predicted model, not a curated record. The transcript is spliced from 3 exons. NCBI's taxonomy places the organism in Eukaryota, Metazoa, Arthropoda, Arachnida, Ixodida, Ixodidae.
ACGCCAUUCCUGUCGCCAUCAUCAGCAGCAGAAGUGAGGUACAACACGGCACACACCACGACAAGGAGUAUUGUUGAAAGGACAAUAGGCCAGCUGAAGCGCAGGUUCCACUGCCUGCACGCCGAGCUGCGCAUGGAGCCAAGCAGAUGCUGCGACAUCAUCGUGGCAUGCUGCGUGCUCCACAAUCUCGCCAAGAGAUACCCCUGCGCGAUGCCAGGGACUGCCAUCCCGCCUGAGGUUCCUGUGGAGCCCAUGGCAGCCGGCCGUGGAGAAAGCAACGAGGCCCGGCGUGCCCUUGUCGACCAGUUCUUCUGUUGAGCGAGGUUCUCCGCCUCCAUCUGCUGCUGGUCCUCAGCUUGCUGCUGAUACCUCUGCGCAGCUUCCCGGCACCAACGUCUCGUCUGCAAGACACGGGGAGCUGCUGCCCACUCUUCUGCUGCU